UACAGAGGUCUCAAGCGUUGUUCGGAUUCAUUGGGCGUAAAGGGCGCGUAGGCGGCUCGCUAAGUCGGGUGUGAAAACUCUGGGCUCAACCCAGAGCCUGCAUUCGAAACUGACGAGCUAGAGUUCUGGAGGGGAAAGCGGAAUUCCUGGUGUAGCGGUGAAAUGCGUAGAUAUCUGGAGGAACACCGGUGGCGAAGGCGGGUCUCUGGGCCGAUAUUGACGCUGAGGAGCGAAAGCGUGGGGAGCGAACAGG
This 253-nucleotide ribosomal RNA is filed under the name uncultured bacterium. Its description in RNAcentral is "partial 16S ribosomal RNA". It matches the Rfam family "Bacterial small subunit ribosomal RNA", at positions 524 to 776 of the family's 1533-position model. The record is from RNAcentral.